Triticum aestivum (bread wheat) is the source of this 5704-nucleotide long non-coding RNA. RefSeq lists it as uncharacterized. NCBI's taxonomy places the organism in Eukaryota, Viridiplantae, Streptophyta, Magnoliopsida, Poales, Poaceae. The transcript has 4 exons. The record is from RefSeq and is a predicted model, not a curated record.
AAAACCCAGCCACCCCGAAUAGUCUCAGCCCACUCCCGUGUGUGCUGGAUAGGGUUCCCCGCCAUCCUCACCGAUCGCCGCCGCCGCCCUCACCGGUCGCUGCCGCCGCCCUCACCGGUCGCCGCCGCCGUCGGUUUCCCCUACAUGGCCGGAGGAUAGGCCAUCCCGCCGGUCCAUUCUCGCCCCACCGCGAGGGAGGAGACCGACCAGUUGCGCCUCCCCGCCGGUCGCCGCCAGCCACCCCAAGCUAUGACGUACCCCGCCGCCAGGAGGCCAGGAGGCCGCCAUGGAGGCCCGUCCCGAGCUCGCCUCGCUGCUCCUCCGGUGACCCUCGUUGCGCCUGGAUCCGGGCGGAUCCGACGAUUCCCCGACGCGCAGGCGGGCCGGCACACGGUGCUAGGCGAAGGAGCCCUCCCAUGGCGGAUGAAUCGACUGUAGUGUGCAGCAGAUAGGACAGAUGUAGUCGUCCAUGAGGCUGCUGGCGGAUGCUGUGUGGAGGAAGGACGGUCCCCAGAACAUAAUGCAGUAGUCGCCCACUUAGUACUCUGAUUGCUCGUGAAGGCAAGGUCUUGCGUGAAGGUCAUCCUCCUACAUCGCUGUGUCAGGCACUCUGAUUGCUCGUGUUGAUCGGAGUUAGAAAAGAGGAACCCAGAUUUUUGUCCGUGAACUGUAAGCAGCAACAAAAUCUUGCAAUUUCUAAUUUUCUUUUCUAGCCAUCUACGUGAUUCAGGUGCCUGGUUCCGUGCCCUCCUUUGCAUUUUUUUAAUUCAAUCAGCAGCGUUCUUAGUUUCUUCUAUCAUAUGUUUGUGUGCUAAUUCCAUGCCUUGCUCCAGUAACUAACAAGACUACUCUUAAUUUACCAAGAUGUCAUCUAGAAUGUAUCCAUCUGCUAAUGACUUGAUGGAGUCAUAGAAAUGAGCUAUUGACACUUUUUUAGAAUAGAUGCAACUGCUUGUAAUUCUGAAUAACUAGCUUUAGUUACUGUUAAAAACAACCUGUGAAAAAUUUCUUGACUGGCCCUGCUCACGAGAGCCGAAAUCCCUGGGCCCCCGAAAUUUCUUGACUGGCCCUACUCACGAGAGCCAAAAUCCCUGGAGGCUGGAGUGGUAGAUGAUCUCAUGCGACAGUGGGUUGAAAGUGAGCUAGAUGCUCGUGCCGUCGGUUUCGAACGCGUGCUGCCGGUCGGCUCCUUGUGUCCUCCAGUGGCUUCCAUUGAGGUAGGCUUUGUGGAGGCAUGUGUAUGGGUUGUAGUCUAGUCGUGCGUCGGUUCUCACCAGGUUCAUCCUGUGGCAUUUCUUGGAGCAGAUGCAGUCGACAUGUAUGCUGGGAGCAUGCUAAUGGGGGCACCUAAAGUGUUCGACGGAAUGGCUAUCAUAUUGGUGCUUUACCAUCUCACCUCACCACCACGUGAGCAAAACCACCUACCAGAGCAUCGGGGUUGACUUGUCUGGUUUUAGAAAGUAGAGGGGAUUAAGAUCCCAGUUUUAGAGGUCAGGGCCUCAGGGGGCUAUGUGGCCAAAAUGUAAUACUUAUGGGGCCAUAUACACUUUUUUCUUAAAUCUAAUAGGUUUCUUCCUCAGUGAUAUCCCAAAUUAUCCCACCAAGAAAGAUGGCCGCGUCGUCCUGGCCUGCGCUCCCGGCCACCCAGCGGGAUGUCCAGGCUGUCGUUGCCAAGGACGUGGAGCUGCACUGGCCUCUAUUGGCGCACCGUGCCCAAUGUCAGUGCUGCCAAUAUUGCUUAUUUGAUCAACUUCGGGUCUGCAAUAGUUUAAUUAGCUCUUUUUAGAGAUAUAGACUAAUCAAUACAGUAGCUUAAUAACUUGUAAUCACUAGGGCCAAUUAGCUGAUGGGAGACAGGGAGAACGAAGGUUGACGAGGCUUAGGCAGUCUGCUGACAGGAAAUGCAAUAGUGAUUUCGCAAGAGAAAUGGAGGUGAUGGCUAGGCUCUGGCACGACAAUGUUAUCCACCUCCUUGCUUACUUCAGUGAAUGCGAUGAGCGGAUACUCAUCUAUAGCUAUAUGUCGAACAACAGCAUGGAUCUCUGCUUAUACUUCUAUAUUUUUUCUUGCCUAUGCUCAGAAUUUGGAUCACAAUAGUAAAUAGAUCAUUAGGUUCUCUUCUAUAAUUGUUGGUUGUUGUUGUUCUGUGCUCCAACACAUACGAGCAGCUCACUGUUGCACGGAGAUAAGUUUCAUGCACAUAAUUAAAGUUCCGGAUAACCGAAGUACAAAUCUGUAAAUACCUUUAGAGAAAGCUUGUAUGCUUGACAUGCUUGACCAUGUAAAAGCUCAUGCAUGAGUAAUUAUAUCGUCAGAUUAUUCUUUUUAUCUGCAAGGUGAGCUUCAAAAUUCUGUAAACUAGCAUUUCCAAUAGUUCAGAGCUGCCACUUUACUUUCAGUAUUUAGGUGGAUGAUCUCUGUUUAAAUUCCUAAUACAAGUAAUGCACUCCGGCAAGUUCUAUUUAUUUGUGUCCUUGCUGCCAAUAGAUGUAAUUUUAUCGCGAGCACCCAAGUACAGCAGCACUAUUGUCGUUCAUUAUUGUUGGCUUAUGCCCUAGAGAGAAAAUAAUUAGCAUUUACCGUGUACCGGACUGUAGUUGUACCAUAUGCCUAUUGUAUCAUUUUCAUCCUUGAUAGAUGCAGCGAGUAAAUUGUCACUGAAAAAUGUUGUGGUUGCAGCGUUUGUUUUGUUAAUUCUGCAUUCCUUCCUUUAUGAGAAAAGUGUUACUUCUGCGUUAGUUAUAUGUUAUGUUUCUCUAUGUCCAAUUCUUGUAUUGACUUCAGAUUGUGCAUAUGUGGAGAAGCAUGUCUGCUCCCAGUGGAGAGGACUUUCAGAAAGACAACUUAGACACUUGCUUUAGCAUUCACGUUUACUAUUUUUGUAAAAAUAUUCAUACGUGUGUUUGAAUUGUUUUUAGUAGCUGUCUUUAUUACUCUCUAUGAUUGAAAAAAAAAUCGGAGGCUGCCUACAGCAAGUCCGUUUGUCAUCAACGCCUUUCUUUGCUUGGUAGCUCCACAUCCAAUCUUUCAAGCUACAUCCAUAUGUAAGAAAGUUACAAUUAAUCCAGUACUAAUAGUUUUGUACGUACGUAUAUGCGCACUCACCCCUUCUAUAUACAUAUGAUUCAGGAGCAUCUUUUACUAGCAUUUUGUUUCAUUGCCCCAUACAAAAUGUAUGCAAGUGAUGUCUAUUGUUUUUUCCUUUGUCUAAAUAUACUACAGAAGCAUGUCUUGAAUAAAAGCUGGUUGGCGUCGUUGCAAUUGCCAAAUGUGUGUGGACGUAUUUUUCAUCUUCCACAUGUUCUGUGUCGAGAGCAAUGAGAAAGCUAGGUAGGGAGAACAACAAGUCUUCUGCAAGGUGAAAAUUGAGAAGGAAAUAUUUGGCUUGGAUGACAGGGUUCAUCGGCCGGAAACCAUAUGUUUGAUUUUGCUCGAUAACUACUUAGCAACAAUAUGGCAUCACUUUGAUUGAUAUCUUGGUGCAUCUUUUAUUGUUCAGUAGGCUCCACUUAUUGAUUAAACAUUGUCCACCCGAUCUUUUGUGACUCACUCCGUAGCGUAGCACGGGCAUCUUGCCAGUUAGUACAUAUAUGCCUUGAUCAGGCUUUUCUUCCUUUGUGUGUUACAACGAACCGUGCCAACAUUUGUGAAUUGUGAAAAGCAUAUAUAGCUGUGCUAUAGAUUGAAAAGCUAAGUAAACAAAAACAAUCAAACUUCUUUAGGCAAUAAGAAAUCCAAUUAGUAAACAACAAAGGAAUACAAUUCCAUAGUUCCACGAAUAACCAUUGCAGAGGUUUGAUUGUUUAGGCAAGCUGCUUACUUCUCUCCGCCAUUCGUCCGAGUAGAUCAGUUCAGUCUGUUUGUUUAUUAUUAAGUACUUGAUGUAGCUAGCUUUAAGGUUUCCAUCUGUUCUUCAUUCUAGGCUAACAACUAAUUUAUGCUUUUUUUAUAUAGGCUAUAAUUUCCAAUAUUUAUGUUUGCUAUAUAUUUGUUUUUUUCCUGAACAUAUAGCCAGACGUUAGGAGUGAAGGGCUCCAAGGUGGCACAAUGGUUUACAAGAAAACAUCCAAAUGGAGAAGAGCAAAAAUCGCUAAGGCUGUACGUUAGGAGUGAAGGGCUCCAAGGUGGCACAAUGGUUUACAAGAAAACAUCCAAAUGGAGAAGAGCAAAAAUCGCUAAGGCUGUGUAUCUUUCUCACCUGCUCUUUCAAACAUAAUAAUUCUUUAUAUUAUUCCCCUUUUUAUUUGUUAAAGCACAAUUAAUUAUCGGCGAGAAUGUAGGGGCAACGGAACAUUUCAUGUCUGACAUGCUAUUUUGGUUUGAACAUAGCUAUAUUAAGUAAGUUACUCUGACCACAUCGAUACCGAUGUUGUAUGUAUCAAAAGUCAUCCUUCUACGUGGAUUAAUAAAGAAGGAUGAGAUGGUCACAACUAACACUUUAGCAACAUACUAAAUUCUACACAUUGCCAUUGCAGAGGUUUGAUUGUUUAGGCAAGCUGCUUACUUCUCUCCGCCAUUCGUCCGAGUAGAUCAGUUCAGUCUGUUUGUUUAUUAUUAAGUACUUGAUGUAGCUAGCUUUAAGGUUUCCAUCUGUUCUUCAUUCUAGGCUAACAACUAAUUUAUGCUUUUUUUAUAUAGGCUAUAAUUUCCAAUAUUUAUGUUUGCUAUAUAUUUGUUUUUUUCCUGAACAUAUAGCCAGACGUUAGGAGUGAAGGGCUCCAAGGUGGCACAAUGGUUUACAAGAAAACAUCCAAAUGGAGAAGAGCAAAAAUCGCUAAGGCUGUGUAUCUUUCUCACCUGCUCUUUCAAACAUAAUAAUUCUUUAUAUUAUUCCCCUUUUUAUUUGUUAAAGCACAAUUAAUUAUCGGCGAGAAUGUAGGGGCAACGGAACAUUUCAUGUCUGACAUGCUAUUUUGGUUUGAACAUAGCUAUAUUAAGUUACUCUGACCACAUCGAUACCGAUGUUGUAUGUAUCAAAAGUCAUCCUUCUACGUGGAUUAAUAAAGAAGGAUGAGAUGGUCACAACUAACACUUUAGCAACAUACUAAAUUCUACACAUUGCAUAGUAGUAGAAUUUUCACUACGAAAAGAAACCCUGAAUUAGUUUUCAAAAUUAUAAGUCAUGGCUUUCAAAGUUUUAAUAUGAUUGUUGUUGCUAUUUGCCAUGUCGCAAACGUCGGCCGAUGCACACCAUGUUGCGUGCUGUUCUGCGAUUUCUGAGGUACUCUCUCUCUCUCUCUCUCAAAAUGGUAAAAGAACUCGUACUAAACGGGAGGGUCUACAAUUUUACUACCUGACAUGACUUACCACUGUAUUUUUCUUCUUCUAAUUACAACAUGUAGAAAUGUGUGUUAAGAGUUCAAUCAUAUACAAAGAUGCCUAUAUGUUGUUUUUGGUUUUACCUCCAUAAAACUAAAAUGGUUCUCUACUAACAGAGAGGCAGUGGAUAUGUGCUUCUCAAUCAAGGAGCUUUUGUCAAACCGGGUAUGCAACCAUGCACGUUGUAGUUCAUACUAUAUGGAAUUUACUUUCAGUAGGAAUGUGCGUAUGUUGCUCCGGUGAUAGUAAGCAUUUGCAUUGUUUCAAUACAUAUCACAAGUCCUAUUUUACAGAUAUAAGUUGCAUCAUAAUAAUCUUCACAUUUUAGUUGCAUCAUAAUAAUCUUCUUCUUCUAGUCUUCUUCUUCUAACUUUCUUUUUUCCCA